Molecule: long non-coding RNA, 1176 nt
Filed under: Sus scrofa (pig)
Lineage: Eukaryota; Metazoa; Chordata; Mammalia; Artiodactyla; Suidae
Description: lncRNA (ENSSSCG00025015502.1)
Source: RNAcentral
UCCUCUUCCAUUUCAUUUUAGCAUAGCACGGUCCUUCUCAUCGAUUAGAGCUCGUCUCAAUUUUCUUUUCUGAAAACUCCUGCAUUAGGAGUUUCCUUGUGGCUCAGCAAGUUAAGGAUCUGGCAUUGUCAGCGCUGUGGCUCCGGACGCUGCUGUGGCACAACUUUGAUCCCUAGCCCAGGAACUUGCAUGUGCUGGGGGUACAGCCAAAAAAUAAAAUAAAAAACCUUUAUUAAAAAGACUUUAUCUAAAAUGAUCACAUUUGUUUGUUCACAUGUGUUAUUGAGAACCUAAGCAUAGUCUGUCCUCACUGAUAUUAUGAAGUAGAUAAAAACAUACACUGGAGGGAGUUUCUGUUGUUGUGCAGUGGAAACGAAUCUGACUGGUAACCAUGAGGUUGCAGGUUCGAUCUCUGGCCUAACAUUGCCGUGAGCUGCGGUGUAGGUCGAAGAUGCAGCUGAGAUCCUGUGUUGCUGUGGCUGUGAUAUAGGCCAGAAGCUGUAGCUCCGAUUCAACCCCUAGCCUGGGAACUUCCAUGUGCCACAGGUGAGGCCCUAAAAAGCAAGAAACAAAAAACAAACAAAAAAAACCAUCUGAAUUUUGAAGACUUGGUAUGAAGAAAAGGAUAUAAAAUGCCUCAUUAAUAAAAUGCUUUGCAUAUCUUGAGUUAAAUACAACAAAUUAUUAAAAUUAAUUCAUCCAUUUCCUUUUACUUUUUGUAGUGUAGAUGGCUACUCCAAAAAUAAAACUAUGGAGUCCUGGCCUGGCUCAGCGGAAACGAAACUGUUAAAUUUUUUUUUUUUUUUGGUCUUUUUACCUUUUCUAGGACCGAUCCUGUGGCAUAUGGAGGGGAAGAGGGAGGGACCCCUGAGACAGCAGGGAAGCCCUCAGGGUUGGCUGUAAACCUUUUCAGAAGAAAGCAAUGCUCUGGAAUGUCCUUUGAGCCUUGCGUGGUUGUGGCAAAGGGAUAGUCCAUUUUUUUUUCCUUAUGAUAGAUGAGGACGGCACCCCUCUGGAGGGUCCAGGUCGCAUGAACUAUUUUGACUGAAAUAGCUAAAUAAAGAUGCUAACAAAUAGGGAGCUAUCUAGACCAAUAACUCUCAGGCAAUGGUUUGCCAACCGUGAGCACUGGUGGGCUCUUUGUCACUGUGCGCACCUUAGGGUAGGGUAGGGGUU